GCUGUUCUCAUGAUAGUAAGUCUCCUGAGAUCUGAUGGUGUUAAAAAGAGGAAUUCCCCUACGCAAGCUCUCUCUUUGCCUGCUGCCAUCCAUGUUAAGAUGUGACUUGUUCCUCCUUGCCUUCUGCUAUGUGAGGCUUUCCCAGCUACGCGGAACUAUGGAGUUUCUCUCUUGUCCUCUAGGCUGGAGUGCAGUAGUGUGAUCUUGGCUCACUGCAACCUCUGCCUCUGUGGUUCAACGAUUCUCCUGCCUCAGUCUCCCAAGCAGCUGGAUUACAGGCACCGGCCACCACACCUGGCUAAUUUUGUAUUUUUAGUAGAGACAGAAUUUUGCCAUGUUGCCCAUGCUGGUCUUGAACUCCUGACCUCAGGUGAUCUACCCGUCUCAGUCUCCCAAAGUGCUGGGACUACAGGCUUGAUGUAUUUUGUUUUUCAUAUCCACUCAGAGACUUUGAAUAAGGCCACUUUUCCCCCUAUUUAUUUAAUGUAUUGGGUCUUUAUUGCCUGUACCAGUCAUUUCCUUAAAAAUAGUGUGUUACUUAAAUGCCCAAGAUUCAGCUUACACAGUCAUCUCCCACUUCUUUGACUUCCCACUGGCGCUUCCCUCCCACAAAUUCCUUCCCUUCACUUCAGCCACAUUCCCCAUUCCAGAGCCAAACCCUGGACAAUGCCAUCACUUGAAAUUUGAAGUUACCGAAAUCAUUAGUUCAUACAUUCUAUUCUCUGAUAACUACCUCUACUUCUGGCCUUUUUGCACCCCUACUCCCUUGACACCUGCAGUUUCACACUGUAGCUGAGCCAGUCCACAGUUGAAUUGAACUCUUCUUUACCACCAUGCAUACUUAUCCAUUGUCUACAGUUCUCUCCUUAUUAAGUAAAUCCUAUUUAUCAAUUCAGUUGUUUUCACGCCAAUAGUCCAAACAUUAUUCUUCCCCCAUUGGCUUUUAAUGUUACUUAAAAGCCCUGAAUCUUGUGAAGACCUAGAAAUUUCUCCAUUAUUUGAACUUCCCAAUAUCUCAAGUUUCAGCUCAUAUUGCUCUUCUAUUUUCUUUGUAUGUUGCAGCCAUUCUAGGAUUAAUUAUAUGUCCUUGUAAAAUAUUUUUAACUCGUUGUCUUUAUACACAUAUUUCUCUAUCGAGAUUGACUACUUUCCCUCCCUUUUAAAAACUAUUAAUUGAAGCUUCUGUCUUAUAUCCUGUGCUAGGCAUGUGAAACACAUCAAUGAACAAAAGAAAGAAAAAUCUUACCUCACGGAACUUAGAUCUCAAUGGGAUAGGUACAAUAAUCAUGACACAUAAAUAAAUUAAAUAAUGUUUUAGAAGGUAAUAAGUACAAUAAGAAAGGGGCAGAGUAGGACUAGUUAAAGGAAACAGGAGUACUAGAGUGUCUUAGGUUAUAAUUUAAAAAUACGUGAAGGAGUUAGCCAUGAGAAUAUUUGGAAGAAAAGCAUUCCAGCAGAGACAACAGGCAGAGUAAAUACCACAAGGCUAAUAUUGAUUUUUCUUUCCUUAGCUAAAAUAAUUUCCUUGGCUAAGAGAUCAAUCAGCUCCUAGACUAGGUAAAAUAUGCUCUGCUAUUUUUUUUUUCAUUUUAUCUAGCACUUUGCCUACAGUAAGACACUUCACACACUU
Molecule: long non-coding RNA, 1630 nt
Filed under: Homo sapiens (human)
Lineage: Eukaryota; Metazoa; Chordata; Mammalia; Primates; Hominidae
Description: HSALNT0403227
Source: RNAcentral